UCUGCAACUCGACUCCAUGAAGCUGGAUUCGCUAGUAAUCGCGCAUCAGCCAUGGCGCGGUGAAUACGUUCCCGGGCCUUGUACACACCGCCCGUCAAGCCAUGGAAGCCGGGGGGUGCCUGAAGUGCGUGACCGCAAGGAGCGCCCUAAGGGUAAAACCGGUGACUGGGGCUAAGUCGUAACAAGGUAGC
This 191-nucleotide ribosomal RNA is filed under the name uncultured bacterium. Its description in RNAcentral is "partial 16S ribosomal RNA". It matches the Rfam family "Bacterial small subunit ribosomal RNA", at positions 1304 to 1500 of the family's 1533-position model. The record is from RNAcentral.